GCUAGAUAGAUGGGCUAGGGACCACAUGUGGCCUGUGGGCCAUAGUUUGGGAACUUCUGCUCUAAGGUCUUCUAAGUACAGAUCCAAACUUGAAAAGUAGAGGACAAGUUGUGAAUUUCCCAGCUCAAUGGAGGAUCAGGGAGACACAGUAGUCCCUGGUGAUAUGUUACAGACUAGAAGAUGCCCCUUCUUUCUUCCAUAAUCUCAAUAUGUAAAACUUCUCUUUCCUUCAGAUGGCCCAGAUAUUGCCACGAUUGCCCAUUCAGUAGAUGAGUACCCUAUUGGAGCAAAUAUUACCUUGAGCUGUUCUGCUGUUUCUAAUCCACCAGUCCAAUUCACUUGGUUGCACAACGGACAACCAGUCAGCAACUCAGCCACAUUUUCAUUUAUUGCAUCCAUGACUCUUUCUGGAACUUAUACCUGUAAUGCAGCCAACUCAUUGACUGGCUUGACACGCUCCGCAACCAAGAAUGUUAUAAUCUAUGGACCAGCUGGUUUAUCCACAUUUGAAAAACACCACGUCAUGGAAUGUCAAUAAAAGAAAGGGGGAAGGAAUUGACCAUGGCUUGUAACGAGGACUCUGGGAGAGAGGAGAGAGGUAAAGGAAGAUAAAGUUUAAUGGAAAAUAGGCUACACGUGGUCUGAGAACUUAGAGUAAAUGAUGAGAUUUAAAUAUGUGCUGAUCUACCAUUACUAGUAAUAAACUUCAUGAAAAACAAUAACUGUUAGAUAUA
RNAcentral lists this long non-coding RNA (734 nucleotides) under Monodelphis domestica (gray short-tailed opossum). RNAcentral's name for it is "lncRNA (ENSMODG00000040239.1)". The record is from RNAcentral. Lineage: Eukaryota; Metazoa; Chordata; Mammalia; Didelphimorphia; Didelphidae.